This 224-nucleotide long non-coding RNA is filed under the name Mustela putorius furo (domestic ferret). RNAcentral's name for it is "lncRNA (ENSMPUG00000024299.1)". The record is from RNAcentral. Lineage: Eukaryota; Metazoa; Chordata; Mammalia; Carnivora; Mustelidae.
UGCAGUUUGCUCAUAUUGACAGAAUCAGAGUCAACACAGCAGGUGGUUUAAAUCUAUGUGUCAAAUACAGAAGCUGAGCAGAGAAAUAAACUCAUAAGACAAAAAUCAUGAAGUGGGUCAUGAUCCUGGGGUCCUGAGACAGAGUCCUGCAUCAAGCUCCCUGCACAGUGAGGGGUCUGCUUCUCUCUCCCCCUCCCUCCCCUCACCCAUGUUCUCUUGCUCAC